CUAUGUGUUGUUGGGUAGGGGAGCGUUCUGUAAGCCGUUGAAGGUGUGCUGUGAGGCAUGCUGGAGGUAUCAGAAGUGCGAAUGCUGACAUAAGUAACGAUAAAGCGGGUGAAAAGCCCGCUCGCCGGAAGACCAAGGGUUCCUGUCCAACGUUAAUCGGGGCAGGGUGAGUCGACCCCUAAGGCGAGGCCGAAAGGCGUAGUCGAUGGGAAACAGGUUAAUAUUCCUGUACUUGGUGUUACUGCGAAGGGGGGACGGAGAAGGCUAUGUCAGCCGGGCGACGGUUGUCCCGGUUUAAGCAUGUAGGCGGA
This 311-nucleotide ribosomal RNA is filed under the name Enterobacter hormaechei. Its description in RNAcentral is "partial 23S ribosomal RNA". It matches the Rfam family "Bacterial large subunit ribosomal RNA", at positions 1214 to 1528 of the family's 2925-position model. The record is from RNAcentral. Lineage: Bacteria; Pseudomonadati; Pseudomonadota; Gammaproteobacteria; Enterobacterales; Enterobacteriaceae.